GCAAGUCGAGCGCUUCCCUUCGGGGAGGAGCGGCGGACGGGUUAGUAACGCGUGGGAAUAUACCCAGUUCUAAGGAAUAGCCACUGGAAACGGAGAGUAAUACCUUAUACGCCCUUCGGGGGAAAGAUUUAUCGGAGAAGGAUUAGCCCGCGUAAGAUUAGAUAGUUGGUGGGGUAAUGGCCUACCAAGUCUACGAUCUUUAGCUGGUUUGAGAGGAUGAUC
Molecule: ribosomal RNA, 222 nt
Filed under: uncultured bacterium
Lineage: Bacteria
Description: partial 16S ribosomal RNA
Rfam family: Bacterial small subunit ribosomal RNA
Source: RNAcentral